ACGUCGACCGGCGCACGGGUGAGUAACGCGUAUCCAACCUUCCCAUUACUGUGGGAUGACCUGCCGAAAGGCAGACUAAUACCGCAUAGUCUUCGAUGACGGCAUCAGAUUUGAAGUAAAGAUUUAUCGGUAAUGGAUGGGGAUGCGUCUGAUUAGCUUGUUGGCGGGGUAACGGCCCACCAAGGCUACGAUCAGUAGGGGUUCUGAGAGGAAGGUCCCCCACAUUGGAACUGAGACACGGUCCAA
Molecule: ribosomal RNA, 246 nt
Filed under: uncultured Bacteroidales bacterium
Lineage: Bacteria; Pseudomonadati; Bacteroidota; Bacteroidia; Bacteroidales
Description: partial 16S ribosomal RNA
Rfam family: Bacterial small subunit ribosomal RNA
Source: RNAcentral